AUAUUCAGAGAAAUCAUAGACAAGUAGGGCUGGAAGGGACUUUCAUAGGUUAGCUAGUCCAACCCACUGUCUGAGGCAGGAUCAUACUUAUCCAAACCAACCCAUACAG
Gavialis gangeticus (Gharial) is the source of this 109-nucleotide long non-coding RNA. RefSeq lists it as uncharacterized. The record is from RefSeq and is a predicted model, not a curated record. Lineage: Eukaryota; Metazoa; Chordata; Crocodylia; Gavialidae. The transcript has 3 exons.